CCUACGGGGGGCAGCAGUGGGGAAUAUUGGACAAUGGGGGGAACCCUGAUCCAGCCAUGCCGCGUGUGUGAAGAAGGCCCUCGGGUUGUAAAGCACUUUCAGUGAGGAAGAACGCCUGGUGGUUAAUACCCAUCAGGAAAGACAUCACUCACAGAAGAAGCACCGGCUAACUCCGUGCCAGCAGCCGCGGUAAUACGGAGGGUGCGAGCGUUAAUCGGAAUUACUGGGCGUAAAGCGCGCGUAGGUGGCUUGAUAAGCCGGUUGUGAAAGCCCCGGGCUCAACCUGGGAACGGCAUCCGGAACUGUCAAGCUAGAGUGCAGGAGAGGAAGGUAGAAUUCCCGGUGUAGCGGUGAAAUGCGUAGAGAUCGGGAGGAAUACCAGUGGCGAAGGCGGCCUUCUGGACUGACACUGACACUGAGGUGCGAAAGCGUGGGUAGCAAACAGGAUUAGAUACCACAGUAGUC
RNAcentral lists this ribosomal RNA (465 nucleotides) under Vreelandella stevensii. RNAcentral describes it as "partial 16S ribosomal RNA". It matches the Rfam family "Bacterial small subunit ribosomal RNA", at positions 338 to 795 of the family's 1533-position model. The record is from RNAcentral. Lineage: Bacteria; Pseudomonadati; Pseudomonadota; Gammaproteobacteria; Oceanospirillales; Halomonadaceae.